Molecule: unclassified non-coding RNA, 1456 nt
Filed under: uncultured fungus
Lineage: Eukaryota; Fungi
Description: sequence contains 18S rRNA gene, ITS1, 5.8S rRNA gene, ITS2, 28S rRNA gene
Rfam family: Eukaryotic large subunit ribosomal RNA (bases 538-1456)
Source: RNAcentral
GGAAGGAUCAUUCUUGAAUUACUAGUAGCUCAUGCUGCUAUUAACCUUCUUGUGAACAAAAUGAACUGCUGCUUGCUCGGGACUCUUACAGGUCUCGGGUGAGUAGUGGUUUACCAACCCAUUUUGACCUUUGAUUAACUUAUUAAACUCGUAUUUCAUAAUACAAAACAACAACUUUCAGCAACGGAUCUCUAGGCUCUCGCAACGAUGAAGAACGCAGCAAAAUGCGAUAAGUAUUGUGAAUUGCAGACCGUGAAUCAUCGAAUUUUUGAACGCACCUUGCACUGCCUGGAAUUCCGGGCAGUAUGCUUGUUUGAGUAUUAUAUCAUUCACCUCCACAGAGUAGCAUUGGUAACCUAAUGCUGCUAGCGGGACUUGAGAUUACAUCUAGCUUCGGCUGCAUGGAUCUUUAAAUGCGUACGACCUUCUGGUUGAUCACACAGUGUAGUCCGAAAGGUAACUGCUGUCGAGAGAAACCAGCUAGCAAGUUUAAUGAAACAGUUGAGUUUAUGCCCUUGCAUAUCUCGCCUAGAAAAAUAAUCUCAAAUCAAGUAGGAUUACCCGCUGAACUUAAGCAUAUUAAUAAGCGGAGGAAAAGAAACUAACAAGGAUUCCCCUAGUAACGGCGAGUGAAGCGGGAAUAGCUCAAAUUUGUAAUCUCUUCGGAGAAUUGUAAUUUGUAGAGUCGCGAUCGUUGGCUAGCUAGGUAAAAGUCUCCUGGGAUGGAGCGUCAUAGAGGGUGAGAAUCCCGUAUAUGACCUAGUGAUGCUACGUUUGACGCGGCUUCAAAGAGUCGGGUUGUUUGGGACUGCAGCCCUAAAUGGGUGGUAUAUUCCAUCUAAAGCUAAAUAUUGGCGAGAGACCGAUAGCGAACAAGUACUGUGAAGGAAAGAUGAAAAGAACUUUGAAAAGAGAGUUAAAUAGUACGUGAAAUUGCUGAAAGGGAAACGUUUGAAAUCAGUGUGGGACCGGUAAAAUCAACUGCUUGGAAACAAGUGGUGCACUUUUACCGGAACCGGUCAACGUCAGUUCUCGGAGUAGUAUAAACAGUAGGGAAGGUAGCUCUUUGAGUGUUAUAGCCUUGCUGCACGCUGCUUUGGGGACCGAGGUCCGCCUUGUAGGAUGUUGACAAAAUGGUUUUAAAUGACCCGUCUUGAAACACGGACCAAGGAGUCUAACAUGUGUGCGAGUAUUUGGGUGUCAAACUCGAAUGCGCAAUGAAAGUGAACGUAGGUGGGAUACUUUUGUAGCACCAUCGACCGAUCUGGAUUUUUAAUGAUAGAUUUGAGUAAGAGCAUACAUGUUGGGACCCGAAAGAUGGUGAACUAUGCCUGAAUAGGGCGAAGCCAGAGGAAACUCUGGUGGAGGCUCGUAGCGAUUCUGACGUGCAAAUCGAUCGUCAAAUUUGGGUAUAGGGGCGAAAGACUAAUCGAACCUUCUAGUAGCUGGUUCCCUC